CCUACGGGUGGCUGCAGUGAGGAAUAUUGGUCAAUGGACGAGAGUCUGAACCAGCCAAGUAGCGUGAAGGAUGACUGCCCUAUGGGUUGUAAACUUCUUUUAUAUGGGAGUAAACUGUUCCACGUGUGGGAUUUUGUAUGUACCAUAUGAAUAAGUAUCGGCUAACUCCGUGCCAGCAGCCGCGGUAAUACGGAGGAUCCGAGCGUUAUCCGGCUUUAUUGGGUUUAAAGGGAGCGUAGGUGGAUUGUUAAGUCAGUUGUGAAAGUUUGCGGCUCAACCGUAAAAUUGCAGUUGAUACUGGCAGUCUUGAGUACAGUAGAGGUGUGCGGAAUUCGUGGUGUAGCGGUGAAAUGCUUAGAUAUCACGAAGAACUCCGAUUGCGAAGGCAGUUCACUGGACUGCAACUGACACUGAGGCUCGAAAGUGUGGGUAUCAAACAGGAUUAGAUACCCGAGUAGUC
Molecule: ribosomal RNA, 460 nt
Filed under: uncultured bacterium
Lineage: Bacteria
Description: partial 16S ribosomal RNA
Rfam family: Bacterial small subunit ribosomal RNA
Source: RNAcentral